UGCUCCAUAGCCAAGCGGUAAGGCAGUGCGCUCUGACCGCACGAUGCGUUAGUUCGAAUCUAACUGGAGCAGCCA
RNAcentral lists this transfer RNA (75 nucleotides) under Clostridium sp. RNAcentral's name for it is "tRNA-Gln". It matches the Rfam family "tRNA". Rfam says of the family: Transfer RNA (tRNA) molecules are approximately 80 nucleotides in length. Their secondary structure includes four short double-helical elements and three loops (D, anti-codon, and T loops). Further hydrogen bonds mediate the characteristic L-shaped molecular structure. tRNAs have two regions of fundamental functional importance: the anti-codon, which is responsible for specific mRNA codon recognition, and the 3' end, to which the tRNAs corresponding amino acid is attached (by aminoacyl-tRNA synthetases). tRNAs cope with the degeneracy of the genetic code in two manners: having more than one tRNA (with a specific anti-codon) for a particular amino acid; and 'wobble' base-pairing, i.e. permitting non-standard base-pairing at the 3rd anti-codon position. RNAcentral also lists the same sequence under 4 other names. The record is from RNAcentral. Lineage: Bacteria; Bacillati; Bacillota; Clostridia; Eubacteriales; Clostridiaceae.